CUGAAGAGCUGAGCUGAGCAAGCAGAGAGCAUCGCUGUGUCCCACACAAUGGCUUGCCUUAAUGUAUCAAAUUCAUACCAAUGGAUGCCUCAGGGCUCCCUUAGGGUUAAUAAAAUCUUCUCUAAUAUGGUGUUGUGACAUCAUCUGCUGGUUCAUAUAUCCUUUGUGAUCAGCUAGGAUUUUUAAAUAAGACUAAAUCUCACUCAUCCAGAAAUGUUAGACCUUAGUAAACAUGGGCAUGUUUGGGAGAGUAGGGCUGGUUGUGUUACUCUACAACAAAUGGUCCUUUUCUUUUGGAAAGGAGAAAAAUGCAUACUUGGAAGUAGGCUGAAUUUGAAGCACUAAUUCCCCUCAUUUUUCUGUGUUUUAUCUACUCAAGAAGUAUUCUAACCAAGAAAAUCAAACACAUCUAAUCUUCAAAGAAAAAAGUAGCCAGGUGAAUGUCCUCACAUGUGUGGCCAUGGACCCAAGCUGGCUUCUCCCACCAGAGUGUUGGGACAGAAUUACUCUGUAAAGACUUCACUAUUUAGGAUGGAUUCACACAUUUCACUUCCCAGUAGCUCCAGUGGAAGAAAAUGGUUGCCCUGGAACGAAGGCAAGUGUGCAACUAAAGACAUCUGAGAGAAAAAGGAGCCUACCAUCUGCCCCAAGGCUCAGAAAAAGAGAAGAUACCAUAUGUGGCCUGACUAUUUUUUUCAUAAAGAAAAGGAAAUGUUAUGAAGUAAUUCCUGCACUGCAGAUGUUAGUCCAGCAAAGCUUUCAUCAGAGCAAGGACCACCUCUCCCCUGCCUUCUUGCAUGAUUACAAGCUUUGAUCUUAGUCUGGGAGCCUUACAUCUCUGCAGUUGACUCCAGUUAAAAAAUACUCCAUCCAAAUAUUGCAACAAAUGUUUAGAUUAAAACCAAAAAUCCCUAUAUCUGCAAAUUUGCACUCAGCCCCCUGCUUUCUUUGAAGAAAAUUUCAAUCCUGUUUCUUCCUGGGCUCUGAUGGGUGGCUCCUGGUUAAUCUCUGUCUGUCUCCCUGGUAACAGUCAAAGGAGAGGACACAGAGGUGGGCAGGGAGCAGCCUCCAGCCACUGUUCCUCUUAUCACAGUCCAUCAGCAGGUGUCCCUUGCUCAUAUCCAGGAACAAUAAAUACAGCCUGUGGCUAAGGGAACCA
This 1159-nucleotide long non-coding RNA is filed under the name Cyanistes caeruleus (blue tit). RNAcentral's name for it is "lncRNA (ENSCCEG00000017541.1)". Lineage: Eukaryota; Metazoa; Chordata; Aves; Passeriformes; Paridae. The record is from RNAcentral.